This 301-nucleotide ribosomal RNA is filed under the name uncultured bacterium. Its description in RNAcentral is "partial 16S ribosomal RNA". It matches the Rfam family "Bacterial small subunit ribosomal RNA", at positions 509 to 807 of the family's 1533-position model. The record is from RNAcentral.
CAGCCGCCGCGGGAAUACGAAGGGUGCAAGCGUUAAUCGGAAUUACUGGGCGUAAAGCGUGCGUAGGCGGUGAGUUAAGUCUGCUGUGAAAUCCCCGGGCUCAACCUGGGAACUGCAUCUGUGACUGCAUAGCUAGAGUACGGUAGAGGGGGAUGGAAUUCCGCGUGUAGCAGUGAAAUGCGUAGAUAUGCGGAGGAACACCGAUGGCGAAGGCAAUUCCCUGGACCUGUACUGACGCUCAUGCACGAAAGCGUGGGGAGCAAACAGGAUUAGAUACCCCAGUAGUCCCUGUCUCUUAUAC